GUGGUCGCGGCAUGGCUGCACGAAAGAAAGAGGAUUCGUCGAAACAACGUUAUCAAGCGAACGCGCGCGAAAGGGACCGCACACAUAGUAUCAUUGAUAUAUAUGUAUGUAUAUCGAUCGUCGGAGAGCUCGG
Megachile rotundata (alfalfa leafcutting bee) is the source of this 133-nucleotide long non-coding RNA. The record is from RefSeq and is a predicted model, not a curated record. Lineage: Eukaryota; Metazoa; Arthropoda; Insecta; Hymenoptera; Megachilidae.